Molecule: long non-coding RNA, 106 nt
Organism: Coffea arabica (coffee)
Lineage: Eukaryota; Viridiplantae; Streptophyta; Magnoliopsida; Gentianales; Rubiaceae
Source: RefSeq, a predicted model, not a curated record
UUCAAUUGCAGGUUUGACAGGAAGCUCAGGAACACAUAUGAUCAUCUUCUUUUUAGCAGAAGUCCACUUCUUAGUGUGUAUGCUGACAUGUCUGUGACGUGUAAGG